GAGGCUUAGCUCAGUUGGUUAGAGCAAUCGGCUCAUAACCGAUCGGUCCCGGGUUCGAGUCCCUGAGCCUC
This 71-nucleotide transfer RNA is filed under the name bovine gut metagenome. It matches the Rfam family "tRNA". From Rfam's summary of the family: Transfer RNA (tRNA) molecules are approximately 80 nucleotides in length. The record is from RNAcentral.